GGCGAAGUGGCCGAGUGGUCUAUGGCGCUAGCUUCAGGUGAAAGCAAUUGCUAGUCUACGUAUGUGGGCGUGGGUUCGAACCCCACCUUCGUCA
Molecule: non-coding RNA, 94 nt
Organism: Schizosaccharomyces pombe (fission yeast)
Lineage: Eukaryota; Fungi; Ascomycota; Schizosaccharomycetes; Schizosaccharomycetales; Schizosaccharomycetaceae
Source: Rfam